GAUGAACGCUGGCGGCGUGCCUAAUACAUGCAAGUCGAGCGAACGGACGAGAAGCUUGCUUCUCUGAUGUUAGCGGCGGACGGGUGAGUAACACGUGGAUAACCUACCUAUAAGACUGGGAUAACUUCGGGAAACCGGAGCUAAUACCGGAUAAUAUUUUGAACCGCAUGGUUCAAAAGUGAAAGACGGUCUUGCUGUCACUUAUAGAUGGAUCCCCUCUGCAUUAGCUAGUUGGUAAGGUAACGGCCUACCAAGGCAACGAUGCAUAGCCGACCUGAGAGGGGGAUCGGCCACACUGGAACUGGAACACGGUCCAGACUCCUACGGGAGGCAGCAGUAGGGAAUCUUCCGCAAUGGGCGAAAGCCUGACGGAGCAACGCCGCGUGAGUGAUGAAGGUCUUCGGAUCGUAAAACUCUGUUAUUAGGGAAGAACAUAUGUGUAAGUAACUGUGCACAUCUUGACGGUACCUAAUCAGAAAGCCACGGCUAACUACGUG
Molecule: ribosomal RNA, 497 nt
Filed under: uncultured bacterium
Lineage: Bacteria
Description: partial 16S ribosomal RNA
Rfam family: Bacterial small subunit ribosomal RNA
Source: RNAcentral